CCUACGGGUGGCAGCAGUGGGGAAUAUUGGGCAAUGGGCGCAAGUCUGACCCAGCAACGCCGCGUGAAGGAAGAAGGCUCUCUGGUUGUAAACCUCCUUUUAGAGGGAAGAGCAGAAGACGGUACCUCUUGAAUAAGCCACGGCUAACUACUUGCCAGCAGCUGCGGUAAUACGUAGGUCGCAAGCGUUGUCCGGAUUUACUGGGUGUAAAGGGCGUGCAGCCGGGAAGACAAGUCAGAUGUGAAAUCCCGCGGCUCAACCGCGGAACUGCAUUUGAAACUGUUUUUCUUGAGUACCGGAGAGGUGGUCGGAAUUCCGUGUGUAGCGGUGAAAUGCGUAGAUAUAAGGAAGAACACCGAUGGCGAAGGCAGAUGACUGGACGGCAACUGACGGUGAGGCGCGAAAGCGUGGGGAGCAAACAGGAUUAGAUACCCUUGUAGUC
RNAcentral lists this ribosomal RNA (442 nucleotides) under uncultured bacterium. Its description in RNAcentral is "partial 16S ribosomal RNA". It matches the Rfam family "Bacterial small subunit ribosomal RNA", at positions 338 to 795 of the family's 1533-position model. The record is from RNAcentral.